GUGAAUCAUCGAAUCUUUGAACGCAAAUUGCACUCUCUUCGGAGAGUAUGCGUGUUUCAGGUUCAGCCUAAAAAAAUAGACAUAGUCGCUGUUUCUCUGUGACAUUGGUCGUAAAUUGUGUCAUCUUAAACCGUUGGGUUCUAAGCAGUGUAAAAUUUUCUUUUUGAUUCCACGACCGUUUCUUAGAUUUACUUCUUACACGUUU
This 205-nucleotide unclassified non-coding RNA is filed under the name Glomeraceae sp. RNAcentral describes it as "partial contains 5.8S ribosomal RNA and internal transcribed spacer 2". The stretch from base 1 to 65 matches the Rfam family "5.8S ribosomal RNA", at positions 84 to 154 of the family's 154-position model. The record is from RNAcentral. Lineage: Eukaryota; Fungi; Glomeromycota; Glomeromycetes; Glomerales; Glomeraceae.